This 622-nucleotide ribosomal RNA is filed under the name uncultured archaeon. RNAcentral's name for it is "bacterial SSU rRNA". It matches the Rfam family "Archaeal small subunit ribosomal RNA", at positions 1 to 630 of the family's 1478-position model. The record is from RNAcentral.
UGCAGGUUGAUCCUGCCGGACCUGACUGCUAUCUUGAUUGGUACUAAGCCAUGCGAGUCGUUGUACAAUACAAGGCGGACUGCUCAGUAACACGUAGUUAACUUAACCUAUGGAUGGGAAUAACCUCGGGAAACUGAGAAUAAUACCCAAUGGGCCACAGUGCCUGGAAUGGCCUGUGGUUGAAAUGAUUUAUCGCCGUAGGAUAGGACUGCGGCCUAUCAGCUUGUUGGUGAGGUAAUGGCCCACCAAGGCUAUAACAGGUACGGGCUCUGAGAGGAGGGGCCCGGAGAUGGGUACUGAGACACGGACCCAGGCCCUAUGGGGCGCAGCAGGCGAGAAACCUUUGCAAUGUGCGAAAGCACGACAAGGUUAAUCCGAGUGUCUCCUGCUAAAGGAGUCUUUUGUCAGUUGUAGAAUCACUGGUGAAUAAGGGGUGGGCAAGUUCUGGUGUCAGCCGCCGCGGUAAAACCAGCACCUCGAGUGGUCAGGAGGUUUAUUGGGCCUAAAGCAUCCGUAGCCGGUUGCAUAAGUUUUCGGUUAAAUCUAUGCGCUUAACGUAUAGGCCGCCGAAAAUACUGUGCAGCUAGGGAGUGGGAGAGGUACACGGUACUCGAUAGGAAGG